This 253-nucleotide ribosomal RNA is filed under the name uncultured bacterium. RNAcentral's name for it is "partial 16S ribosomal RNA". It matches the Rfam family "Bacterial small subunit ribosomal RNA", at positions 524 to 776 of the family's 1533-position model. The record is from RNAcentral.
UACGUAGGUGGCGAGCGUUGUCCGGAUUUACUGGGCGCAAAGAGCGCGCAGGCGGUCGUGCAAGUCGCGUGUGAAAGCCCCCGGCUCAACUGGGGAGGGUCACGCGAUACUGCUCGACUCGAAGGCAGGAGAGGGAAGUGGAAUUCCCGGUGUAGUGGUGAAAUGCGUAGAUAUCGGGAGGAACACCAGUGGCGAAGGCGACUUCCUGGCCUGUUCUUGACGCUGAGGCGCGAAAGCUAGGGUAGCAAACGGG